GGCAGAGGGUGCAAACGUUGUUCGGAAUUACUGGGCGUAAAGCGCGUGUAGGCGGCUAUGUAAGUCGGGCGUGAAAUCCCACGGCUCAACCGUGGAAGUGCACCCGAAACUGCGUAGCUAGAGUCCUGGAGAGGAAGGUGGAAUGCUUGGUGUAGAGGUGAAAUUCGUAGAUAUCAAGCGGAACACCGGUGGCGAAGGCGGCCUUCUGGACAGCGACUGACGCUGAGACGCGAAAGCGUGGGGAGCAAACAGG
RNAcentral lists this ribosomal RNA (253 nucleotides) under uncultured bacterium. Its description in RNAcentral is "partial 16S ribosomal RNA". It matches the Rfam family "Bacterial small subunit ribosomal RNA", at positions 524 to 776 of the family's 1533-position model. The record is from RNAcentral.